RNAcentral lists this ribosomal RNA (253 nucleotides) under uncultured bacterium. RNAcentral describes it as "partial 16S ribosomal RNA". It matches the Rfam family "Bacterial small subunit ribosomal RNA", at positions 524 to 776 of the family's 1533-position model. The record is from RNAcentral.
GACAUAGGUGGCGAACGUUAUCCGGAAUUACUGGGCGUAAAGAGUGCGUAGGUGGUUUAACUAGUUAUCGGUGGGAAAUCGGGGCCCAACCUCGUGGAAGUCGGUAAUACUGUUAAACUAGAGGGUCGGAGAGGUUAACGGAAUUCUAUGUGUAGCGGUAAAAUGCGUAGAUAUCUGGAGGAAUACCGGUGGCGAAGGCGGCAUCCUGGACCGACAUUGACGCUGAGGAGCGAAAGCUAGGGGAGCAAACGGG